RNAcentral lists this ribosomal RNA (1002 nucleotides) under Triticum aestivum (bread wheat). RNAcentral describes it as "partial small subunit ribosomal RNA". The record is from RNAcentral. Lineage: Eukaryota; Viridiplantae; Streptophyta; Magnoliopsida; Poales; Poaceae.
AUGGCGCCGCCUCGCCCCCCUCCGGCCCGUGGCGGGCGCCGCCCACCCCCUAAGUCUGCGCCCCUCCGUCCGGAGGAGGAGCUGCUCCUCGAGGCGGCGUCCGACGGCGACCUCGUCCUCUUCAAACGGCUGGCGAGGAUGAUGGACGGCGGGCGCGGGCGCGUCACGGAGGCGGUAGAGGCCGUUGUGGAGUGCACGGCGGGGGCACUGCACCUCGCCGCCGGCCAGGGGGAGCUGGCGAUGUGCAGGUACCUGGUCGAGGAGCUCCGGGUGGAUAUCAACGCCAUCCACGACGGAGGUGAAACGCCUCUGGCUUAUGCAAUUAAUGGUGCAAAUAUAGCUACUGUGAAGUAUCUUCUGGACCAUGGCGCUGAUCCAGAUAAAGUUGAUGACAAAGGAUUUACUUCUCUCCAUAUUGCAGCUGAAGAAGGAUAUUGCAAUAUAGUGGAGCUCUUGCUUUCUAGAGGGGCUUCUGUUGAUGCAUUAUCUAAUCGUGGUACACCACUGCACCUUGCUGCUACUAAUGGUCAUCAUCAAACAGUGAAGAUUUUGUUGGACCACAACGCUGAUUGCAAUAAGAUUGUGAAUGGUGUCUACACACCUCUCCUUGUAUCUAUUUAUGCUCCGUCACUAAAAUGUGUGAAGCUACUAAUCCAGGCUGGUGCUGAUGUAAAUGGUGUGGGUAAUAUAACCCCGUUAAUAGCUGCUGUUGGGUUAACUGAGUGCAUGAAGUGCUUAUUGGAAGCUGGUGCUGACCCAAACGUCCCUGAUGAAUUUGGCAGGAUGCCAAUAGAGUUUGCGGCAAUAUGUGGUACACGAGAAGAUGUUGAGAUCCUAUUUCCUUUAACUUCUCGUAUUCCGUCUGUACGUGAUUGGAGUGUCAAUGGAAUAAUAUGUCACGCAUACUCAUUGCCAGGGCAAAAGUUCUAUGAGAGGGGGUUGGAAAGGGACACCACUAGUUUGAAAUUUCAAGGAAGAAAGGCACUCGAGAGAAAGGAUUAG